RNAcentral lists this ribosomal RNA (255 nucleotides) under uncultured bacterium. Its description in RNAcentral is "partial 16S ribosomal RNA". It matches the Rfam family "Bacterial small subunit ribosomal RNA", at positions 524 to 776 of the family's 1533-position model. The record is from RNAcentral.
GACGAACCGUGCGAACGUUAUUCGGAAUCAUUGGGCUUAAAGCGCGUGUAGGCGGGUCCGUGCGUCUGUCGCUGAAAUCCCCCGGCUCAACCGGGGAACGGGCGCGGAUACGACGGGCCUGGAGGGGCAUAGGGGGGACCUGGAACUUCCGGUGGAGCGGUGAAAUGCGUUGAGAUCGGAAGGAACGCCCGUGGCGAAAGCGAGGUCCUGGAUGCCUACUGACGCUGAGACGCGAAAGCCAGGGGAGCGAACGGG